GGGGACACCUCUAGAUUAACUAGGCAGGGACCCGACACAGAAAAACUAACUGGUAGGGACAGAUGGUGAGGGACAGAGCGAAGGACGACGGAGAAGAGACGAAGGAAGUUGAGAAAGAGACGAGCACAGAGAAAGUUCAGGGGAAGAGAGGGAGGGAAAAUCAAUAACAAGGCAGGGAAAUGAGCUACAGAAAGGUCUGUUACUUGGCUGGGAGGACAGGGACAGUUGAGAUUUUUAUGGGAUUCUUAACUCAAGAGAGUAACCGUUAGGUUUGACCGACAGACAGACCAAGACUCACACACAUAAACUUGCACAUGCUGUACAUGCAGUACAUGGCACAGACUGCGGGUGGCACUAUUUAGACUUUUUGAGACCUACUACAUGUAGUUAGGGACAGGCAGACAGGUGUCAAAACUCUGUUCAUUUUCUGGGUGAUAUGUUUAUUUUUCCGGGGAAUAGGAUUCAACAUGAAUUACUUCAUCUGUAGUCACUGAAUUCUAAUUAACUGUAAGAUAAUCUCGCUAUCCUCAUCUAUGUUUCCUACCUUCAUUCUGACCAGAGUGCUGCUUCACAGAGCUAUCCAUCUAUCACACAUAUUCCUGUCGCAUUUUCUACCUGAUCAAACCAGAGAGAGUGACAAAGAGGGGAGGGAAAAAAGAGCAAGUGUCUUUUCCUCGUGGCUUCACAGAAACCAUUCCUCUAGGAAGGGAGGAUUAGGGCUAACACAUUUGUUUUCUCACCACAGGGGGAGGAAAUCGUACAAAGAAAAAUCACAUCCUUUAGUUGUCUCUGCGGUUUUUGUGUGCGUGAAUGUGCUCGCGAGUGUGCAUGUGCAAGUUUGCAAAUCCUUACUUCGGCAUUCUGUGUUAACAGUGUGUGAAAUAUGUAUUGUUUUUGAUAUGGUACCGAGCUAAAACUUGACUCCCACCGCAAUGUCCUUGGCACCUGUUAACUGUGACCAAGUGUUUGUGUGUUUGUGCGUGCGUGUGAGUGUGUAUGUGCUUGUCUACAUUCGUACUGAUUUCCAUUUGAUGCCAUAUCGAUAUCUUAAGUAAAACAGUGAUUGGCAAUGUCAUUGUGAUCUUUAUAAUGUUUUAAAACAACUGGUCCAUAUUAUUAUUUUUUUUUGCUGCUACUGAUGAUUUUUGUUUCUAUAGUGGACUUAAAUUCACACACUUAACACAAAAAAUUUAAUUAAUGCUAUUUUCAGUGACUGUUAAGUUGUUUUUUGCACUUUUUAUUUUACCUUUUUCUUUUUUGUACGGACUUUUUUUUUUUUAACCUCACCCAUAUGAUAUGUCUUGACCCUAAUGUCAGUGUUUGUCAUACUGUGUUGCACUGUGAAAUUAAGUGUCUAUGACUGGCAAAAAUAUCCCAAUACUAAAUGGCAAAUAAAAACAACUUUGUGAAACUGCGACUAAUCCGCACUUUUACAAUGACUAACCUUGCCAUAUUACUGAGGUGAGUGUGUGUGUAUGUGUGUGAGAUCCUGCAUGAGUAGGCGAGCAUGAGUACCUUUUUAUGAGCAUGUUUUGGGUAGCUAGAUGGUGUUCAUACGAUAUGUGCACUGUAGGGAGUAAGAAUAAUUUUUCGUUUGAAGGGUUGUAGCCUGCCCCAGCCUACUUUGUGCGCAUGCUCUGUGUUUGUGUUUUCACUCCGUGUGCGACUGUGUGUGUGCAGUAGUGUAUGUUUGAUGUGUAUUUCAGAACAUGGAUGGAUUAUAACACAAUGGGCCACCGGGCACAGAUGUCCUGCAGAGGAGUGAGACACCCAGACUGAAAAUCACAAAGGCAUUAUUUGUGGUGGUAUUGCACAUGUUUUGUGUUUCUGUGGUCAUUUUUUUUGUCUAACUUUGAUCAUUUUGUGUACCAUUUUAGUUAUUUUGCAUCUCUUUUUAGCCAUUCGGUGUCCCUUCUAUUUUUUUUUUUAAAUGGUUCAUUGUGAUUUUUAAACAAUUCUGUCUCGUUGAGGUCAUUUUGUGUCUUAUUUAACAUCUAUUUCUAGCCCUUUUGUACCUCUUUGUGGUCAUUUUGCAUCACAUACUAGUUGUAUUUUGACCAAUUUCGGUUCAUUUAGGUUGUUUUGCAUCUCUUUUCAGCCAUUCUGUGUCACUUUUGGGGUUUUUUUGUGGCUCAUAACUGUUGGAGGUCAUUUUGUGUCUCAUUUUCGUAAUUUUGUAUCACCUUUUGCACUUCUUUUUAGCCGUUUAGUCUCUUUGAGGUCAUUUUGUGUUACAUUCGCGAUAUUUCUGACCAUUUUAUUUCAGCAGUUUUUAGCUGUUCGGUGUCAUUUUGUGGUCGUUUUGUUUCUCUUUCUAGUUGUAUUUCGUCCAGUUUUGGCCAUUUUGUGUCACAUUGUGUCUGUGUGUGUUUUGGUUCAUAGUUAUUUUGAAGCUCCUGGUAGCAUUGCUGUCAGUUUAAGGUCAUUUUAUGUCACAUUUGGAUUUUUUUUUCUCAUUUUUGUCAUUGUGUGUCUCAUUUCGAUUUUUUUGCAUCUAUUUUUAGCCAUUCUGUAUCUCUGUGGUCAUUUUGCAUCUCUUUGUAGUUAUUUUUUGUCAAUUUGUUGUCAUUUUGUGUCACAUUUUGGUUGUUUUGUUGUUAAUUAGUGUUUUGCAUCUCUUUGUGGCCUUUGUGUGUCUGGUCAUUUUGUAUCUUCUUGUAGCCAUUCCAUCUCCUCAAGUUCAUUUUGUGUCAGAUUUGGGUUUUUGUCACACUCAUUUUGAUACUUUUGCAUCUGUUAUUAUCCAUUAGUGUCUCAUUGUGGUAUUUUUUGCAUCUCUUUAUAGUUGUAGUAGUUGUUUUUGUCCACUUUUGGUCAUUUUGUGCCACAUUUUGGUUGUUUUAUAUUUCUUUUUAGCCAUUUUACAUCUGUUUUGUAGUUGUCCUUCAAAUCGCUGUGAUUGUUUUUGUCCUCUUUGGUCAUUUUUUGUGUCUCAUGUUGGUUGUUUCGUGUCUCUUUCUGCGAUAUGUAUUAUAAUUUUAGGAUGAAACCAGGGGCCCCCAGACUCCUUGGGCCCCUGCGUGUAUGCCCGGUCGGCCCACUGACUAAUCUGUCCAUGUUUCAGAGUAAUAUGAUUGCCCUUUACACACCAACACACCACCUCAAUUCACAACAAGAAUAGAGCACAGUACACUACAAAAAGUAAGAGCUAGGACACUGCCAAAGAGCAAUAGCCACUGAAAUUCAAAAGCAGACAAUAAGUAGAGACAAGCUGCUAUUUCAAUAUUCAAUAUGUGCAUAAUGCUGAUGUAGAAGCACAGACACAGCAGGGCUUUUAUGAUUAAUCAUGGUUAAGAUUUUGCCAGCAGAAUUGAUUCCAGGGAUCUAUAUUUUUACAUUGAUAAUCUGCCAGUGUUUUGCAGCUUGUUCUCAUUUGGAAACAGACAGAUGUUAGUACUUGAUUUGACCUAGACUGUGACCAUUUAGAUAAUCAAACCAAUCAUUAGUCAGAUAUGAGACAAUCCGAACCCCAGUCUAGUUCUAUUUCCACAGUCUCUUCAUUCAGAGCUUGUACAAGAAGAUGUUCUUGAUUGCUUGUUCAUCUUAGUGUUUUUUUUUUUUAAUUUACUUUAAGGAUGUUUUCAGUUUCAUGAACAAAUUUUUGUAUUGGGAAGGUCAGUGUACAUUUUCUUUGGAUGAUACUGUUGUAGUCUGCAUCAGCUAUGAAUACAAUGAAGGAAGAGACAAAUAACAGCUUUUUGAAAAAGAAGAAUAGUCUUUUUUUCUAAAUUAUGUUUAUAUAAUAAAAAGCAUGAUAUUGUUGCAAUUUGGCAGAAAGACUGGUACUUUUUUUGUGGAUUACUUUCGCCAGUCGUGUUCCCUUGUUUUCGCAGGUGGGAAUGGAAAUAAAAUGCUUUUGAGUCUAUGAUAUGAUUUAUAGUUUGUGUGUAAAGUCUCAUAAAAUCCAGCUGGAUUGUGGAUUCUUGAAAUAAAUCAUGUCCUGCAUGCUGAAGGAUGGUUGUGAUGGUUA
This is a long non-coding RNA of Amphiprion ocellaris (clown anemonefish), 3970 nucleotides long. Lineage: Eukaryota; Metazoa; Chordata; Actinopteri; Pomacentridae. The record is from Ensembl.